RNAcentral lists this long non-coding RNA (384 nucleotides) under Cucumis sativus (cucumber). RNAcentral describes it as "long non-coding RNA (CSAT_LNC000548)". Lineage: Eukaryota; Viridiplantae; Streptophyta; Magnoliopsida; Cucurbitales; Cucurbitaceae. The record is from RNAcentral.
CCUUUUAUACACAAUACCAGAAAUGUUAUAUGGAAAGAGUACUACUGCAACUCUCGAUCAAACUUAUAGUUGGAGUCAUAAAUUAAGGAGAUGAUGAUGGAUUGUAUGAUGCCAUAACAUUCUCUAAUAUCCUCCCUUCAACAGAAGAUGGGAGAUGAGUGGAGAGUUUGAGGUGAGAGGUGAGAGGAGUGUGGUAAUAGCAUAUUUGCAAUUUGAUGUUUUUGAAUGAAGUGAAGAUAUCUUUAUAAACAAACUUUUCUCUCAAGUAAAAUGAUCAACUUCAAUAUGUUUGGUGCAAACCAUAGAAGACAAGAUUGUUAGCCAGUGGUAUUGAGCAAAAAAUUUCGCACUACGAUGUUGGAGGAGUACGUAAUGGAACAUGAA